This 332-nucleotide long non-coding RNA is filed under the name Cyanistes caeruleus (blue tit). RNAcentral describes it as "lncRNA (ENSCCEG00000017200.1)". Lineage: Eukaryota; Metazoa; Chordata; Aves; Passeriformes; Paridae. The record is from RNAcentral.
CCCAAAGGUGUCUGGGAGUGAAACAUACCAUGCCUCUAUAGUAUCGCUGUGAGAGUGGCCUGGUCAUGGUGACAAAGCCUGAUAUUGAAGGGGAUUUGGGAAGCAAGGAUUCCAGUGCCAAGUUUGCUGUUUUGUGGUUCAUAAGAGGUGCCAUGAGUUCGUUACCUUCUCCUGUCCUGGGGCUGACAAGGGGCCCGACACUGAUAACAGCAGAGAAGACAAGCAAUAAUCUUUGCUGGCUAUUUGGGUGAUUCAGUGAAGGCUGACUGAGCAUCUGUUAAGCAAUUUGAAGUUGGAGACAGCUACAAAAUUCAUCAUCCUGCACUAAAGAG